ACCUACGGGGCGCAGCAGUAGGGAAUCUUCCACAAUGGGCGAAAGCCUGAUGGAGCAACGCCGCGUGGGUGAAGAGGGUCUUCGGAUCGUAAAACCCUGUUGUUAGAGAAGAAAGUGCGUGAGAGUAACUGUUCACGUUUCGACGGUAUCUAACCAGAAAGCCACGGCUAACUACGUGCCAGCAGCCGCGGUAAUACGUAGGUGGCAAGCGUUAUCCGGAUCUAUUGGGCGUAAAGGGAACGCAGGCGGUCUUUUAAGUCUGAUGUGAAAGCCUUCGGCUUAACCGGAGUAGUGCCUUGGAAACU
Molecule: ribosomal RNA, 305 nt
Filed under: uncultured bacterium
Lineage: Bacteria
Description: bacterial SSU rRNA
Rfam family: Bacterial small subunit ribosomal RNA
Source: RNAcentral